Molecule: long non-coding RNA, 317 nt
Organism: Centrocercus urophasianus (Greater sage-grouse)
Lineage: Eukaryota; Metazoa; Chordata; Aves; Galliformes; Phasianidae
Exons: 3
Source: RefSeq, a predicted model, not a curated record
CUGGAUGACCUCUUUCACCAAUUGGGCCAGUCUCACCAGUAGGACCCUAAGCACAAAGAAAUCUCACUUCACAUUCUUGACUUCUGCUUCAUGAUGACAUCAAGAAUACACACACAAAAAUAGAAGUACAAAAAUAAUCUCAACAUUCACGUUUCAUGGAACUAUUGCAGGACCAGCAGCACCUGGGUCCCCAGAUGGACCUGCUCGACCUUUUGGACCUUCUGGACCAUCUUCUCCUCUUGGGCCAGGUUGACCAACUUCUCCCUGAAAUACAACGUUAUAUAAAUGAGCAGCAAUUGACUGUGUGCAUACAUUAG